RNAcentral lists this ribosomal RNA (497 nucleotides) under uncultured bacterium. RNAcentral describes it as "partial 16S ribosomal RNA". It matches the Rfam family "Bacterial small subunit ribosomal RNA", at positions 28 to 507 of the family's 1533-position model. The record is from RNAcentral.
GACGAACGCUGGCGGCGUGCCUAAUACAUGCAAGUAGAACGCUGAAGAGAGGAGCUUGCUCUUCUUGGAUGAGUUGCGAACGGGUGAGUAACGCGUAGGUAACCUGCCUGGUAGCGGGGGAUAACUAUUGGAAACGAUAGCUAAUACCGCAUAAAAUGGAUUAUCGCAUGAUAAUCCAUUGAAAGGUGCAAAUGCAUCACUACCAGAUGGACCUGCGUUGUAUUAGCUAGUUGGUGGGGUAACGGCUCACCAAGGCGACGAUACAUAGCCGACCUGAGCGGGUGAACGGCGACACUGGGAGUGAGAGACGGCCCAGACUCCUACGGGAGGCAGCAGUAGGGAAUCUUCGGAGAUGGACGGAAGACUGAACGAGCAACGCCGCGUGAGUGAAGAAGGUUUUCGGAUCGUAAAGCUCUGUUGUAAGAGAAGAACGAGGGUGAGAGUGGAAAGUUCACACUGUGACGGUAUCUUAACAGAAAGGGACGGCUAACUACGUG